Molecule: non-coding RNA, 73 nt
Organism: Pteropus alecto (black flying fox)
Lineage: Eukaryota; Metazoa; Chordata; Mammalia; Chiroptera; Pteropodidae
Source: Rfam
GGCUCCACAGUGUAGUGGUUAGCAUGUCUGCUUUACACACAGAAGGUCCUGGGUUCGCACCCAGGUGGAGCCA